AUUGAACGCUGGCGGCAGGCCUAACACAUGCAAGUCGAACGGUAGCACAGAGAGCUUGCUCUCGGGAGACGAGUGGCGGACGGGUGAGUAAUGUCUGGGAAACUGCCUGAUGGAGGGGGAUAACUACUGGAAACGGUAGCUAAUACCGCAUAACGUCGCAAGCCCAAAGAGGGGGACCUUCGGGCCUCUUGCCAGCAGAUGUGCCCAGAUGGGAUUAGCCAGUAGGUGGGGUAACGGCUCACCUAGGCGACCAUCCCUAGCUGGUCUGAGAGGAUGACCAGCCACACUGGAACUGAGACACGGUCCAGACUCCUACGGGAGGCAGCAGUGGGGAAUAUUGCACAAUGGGCGCAAGCCUGAUGCAGCCAUGCCGCGUGUAUGAAGAAGGCCUUCGGGUUGUAAAGUACUUGCAGCGGGGAGGAAGGCGAUAAGGUUAAUAACCUUGUCGAUUGACGUUACCCGCAGAAGAAGCACCGGCUAACUCCGUGCCAGCCGCCGCGGUAA
RNAcentral lists this ribosomal RNA (504 nucleotides) under uncultured bacterium. Its description in RNAcentral is "partial 16S ribosomal RNA". It matches the Rfam family "Bacterial small subunit ribosomal RNA", at positions 29 to 523 of the family's 1533-position model. The record is from RNAcentral.